GAUGAAGAACGUAGCGAAAUGCGAUACGUAAUGUGAAUUGCAGAAUUCAGUGAAUCAUCGAAUCUUUGAACGCAUAUUGCGCUCUCUGGUAUUCCGGAGAGCAUGCUUGUUUGAGUAUCAGUAAACACCUCAACUUCCAUAUCUUUUUUGAAAUGGGAGUUGGACUUGAGUGAUCCCAACGCUUUUCCUCACCGAAAAGUGGCGGGUUACUUGAAAUGCAGGUGCAGCUGGACUUUUCUCUGAGCUAUAAGCAUAUCUAUUUAGUCUGCCUAAAAAACAGAUUAUUACCUGUGCUGCAGCUAACAUAAAGGAGAUUAGUUCUUGUGCUGACUGAUGCAGGAUUCACAAAGACGGCUUCGGCCGACUUUGUAAACUCGAUCUCAAAUCAAGUAAGACUACCCGCUGAACUUAAGCAUAUCAAUAAGCGGAGGA
Molecule: unclassified non-coding RNA, 432 nt
Filed under: soil metagenome
Description: partial contains 5.8S ribosomal RNA, internal transcribed spacer 2, and large subunit ribosomal RNA
Rfam family: 5.8S ribosomal RNA (bases 1-120)
Source: RNAcentral